This 475-nucleotide ribosomal RNA is filed under the name Phoma herbarum. RNAcentral's name for it is "eukaryotic LSU rRNA". The stretch from base 116 to 269 matches the Rfam family "5.8S ribosomal RNA". The record is from RNAcentral. Lineage: Eukaryota; Fungi; Ascomycota; Dothideomycetes; Pleosporales; Didymellaceae.
UCUCUUACCCAUGUCUUUUGAGUACCUUACGUUUCCUCGGUGGGUUCGCCCACCGAUUGGACAAAUUUAAACCCUUUGCAGUUGAAAUCAGCGUCUGAAAAAACUUAAUAGUUACAACUUUCAACAACGGAUCUCUUGGUUCUGGCAUCGAUGAAGAACGCAGCGAAAUGCGAUAAGUAGUGUGAAUUGCAGAAUUCAGUGAAUCAUCGAAUCUUUGAACGCACAUUGCGCCCCUUGGUAUUCCAUGGGGCAUGCCUGUUCGAGCGUCAUUUGUACCUUCAAGCUCUGCUUGGUGUUGGGUGUUUGUCUCCUGUAGACUCGCCUUAAAACAAUUGGCAGCCGGCGUAUUGAUUUCGGAGCGCAGUACAUCUCGCGCUUUGCACUCAUAACGACGACAUCCAAAAGUACAUUUUUACACUCUUGACCUCGGAUCAGGUAGGGAUACCCGCUGAACUUAAGCAUAUCAAUAAGCGGA